Molecule: transfer RNA, 72 nt
Filed under: Sphaerodactylus townsendi
Lineage: Eukaryota; Metazoa; Chordata; Lepidosauria; Squamata; Sphaerodactylidae
Description: tRNA-Ala
Rfam family: tRNA
About the family: Transfer RNA (tRNA) molecules are approximately 80 nucleotides in length. Their secondary structure includes four short double-helical elements and three loops (D, anti-codon, and T loops). Further hydrogen bonds mediate the characteristic L-shaped molecular structure. tRNAs have two regions of fundamental functional importance: the anti-codon, which is responsible for specific mRNA codon recognition, and the 3' end, to which the tRNAs corresponding amino acid is attached (by aminoacyl-tRNA synthetases). tRNAs cope with the degeneracy of the genetic code in two manners: having more than one tRNA (with a specific anti-codon) for a particular amino acid; and 'wobble' base-pairing, i.e. permitting non-standard base-pairing at the 3rd anti-codon position.
Source: RNAcentral
GGGGCUGUGGUUCAGUGGCAGAGCAUCUGCCGUGCGUGCCAAAAGUCUCAGGUCCAAUCCCUGGCAUCUCCA